UGACACAUGAAUAUGGAGCACAGCCUUCCUGGUGGGGAGGUGUGCUGCUCUGUGUAUGUACCCUGUAUGCUGUUAUAAGACGUGUGUAAACAGACACUCACGUGACUCAGCCAACAACUUCUUUUCCUUAAAGAGGAUGGGUUGAGAAAGUUCAUCCUGUGGCUCUGACUAGAGAAGAUAGAGUCCUUAUUAACCUUUAGAUUAGAAAAAUUAAAUAUAUUUGUUUCCUAGAAUCUAGGUGAUUGCCCAAUAAAUAGGAGGAGAACAAGUUAAAGUUAAAAAAAGAAAAGCAGAUAAAUAGCAGAGCAAGAGGCAGGAUGCAUCAUGCCUCGGUCACUACAUGUUUGCAGGGUUUUGUUAAAGACAAUGGUAUGACGUUGAAACUUGGAUUGCCUUGAGUACACCCUCACAGCGCUGCUCGUGGGGCAAGCAUGCCUGGGAGAUGACCUGGGGCACCACGCCCUGCCUAUCUCAGACAAGGAACUCCAGGCAGCAGUGGCGAAGCUAAGCAGCUCCAUCCUUAAGGGGCGGAGGCCGGCUCAUAUUUGCCUAUUAGGGCCGUGGGACGCCGAGGUUCUGCUGGGUCCCUCCUGGAAAUAGAUCCUUCCCAGCCAGCACCCGAAGUCAGCAGCAGAGGGCAAAGCACCUGGGCUUUAUUUAGCUCCAAGCUCCACGAUCCUCCUGGGACUGAGAUAUCUUUGUCAUUUACCUGGGAUUUACAGGGACCAAAAAGCUGGACAUCAUUCACCACUGGGAACAGCAUAUUGUUCCUGGAAGAGGCAAAAGCCUAGGGCUUCAAGAUGCCGGGGCUUUAAGAAACCAAGGCAUGACCUCAAGUGAUUUGCCGGAGGUGGCCUCGGUGGCAGCAGUCAUUGAAGAAAGGAAGACAGCUGCCCAGCCAGUCUGACAGACCAUACACAGACAGCCCUGUUCACAGGGAGGCGUGGGCAAAGAUUUCAUGACGAAACAUCAAAAGCAAUUGCAACAAAAGCAAAAAUUGACAAAUAUGAUUUAAUUAAACAAAAGAGCUUCUGCACAGCAAAAGAAACCAUCAUCAGAGUGAACAGACACAACCUAUAGAACGGGAGAACACUUUUGCAAUCUAUCCAUCUGACAAAGGUCUAAUAUCCAGAGUCUACAAGGAACUUAAACAAAUUUACAAGAAAAAAACAAACUACCCCAUUAAACAGUGGGCAAAAAACAUGAACAGACACUUCUCAAAAGAAGACAUUUAUGCAUCCAAAAAACACGAUAAAAAGCUCAGCGUCACUGAUCAUUAGAGAAACGCAAAUCAAAACAACGAGAUACCAGUCAGAAUGGCAACUAUUAAAAAGU
This 1335-nucleotide long non-coding RNA is filed under the name Homo sapiens (human). RNAcentral's name for it is "HSALNT0326851". The record is from RNAcentral. Lineage: Eukaryota; Metazoa; Chordata; Mammalia; Primates; Hominidae.